GUUUCAGAGUUAAAGAGGCAGAGGAAGUCUGCAGACAGAAAAAGGGGAAAUCACUAUACAAUAUAAGACCAAAACAUGACUCUGGAAUUAAAGCCAAGAUAAGUAUGAAAAUCUGACAGAAGAAAAGCAAAAGCCAUUGUUACCUGGUUACCAAAACUCGACAUGUCUGUGGGUGGGGCGUGAGGGGGAAGGAAACUACAUCAUCUUGAUCAUUUGCUUUCUGGACCUUUUGAAUUCGCCUUUUUGUUCUCUGGAGUUUUCCACCAAUUGAUGUGUUAAUGUACAUUCAUGAAUGAGUGUAAACACUUUAAUGGAGUGCCCGGCAAUAGACUAGAUAUUAACUUGAAACACCUUCCCUGUAUUCAGUAUCUCCUUUACCAUUCAAAGAUGAUAUUUUGUAAAGUGUAUGGUAUACUACAAAUAGGCCAAGUCAGCAUGCAUAAAAACAGUAUCUGCAUCAGUUCUGAACAUGCUGAAAAUUACAUUAAGUUGAACUUCAUAAGAAUACUACUUGAUAAAGUAAAAUGUUUCCAUUCCUACUGGCAACAUCUGUCUAAAGCAGAUACGUCAUGACACUGCACUUAGAUUAGGGAAAGAAAUGUUACUCCUAGUGAAUUGUUUGUAUUCGUUUCAUGUUGGCAUAUGUAGUUUGUAUUUUGAAUCGUUAAGUGCUGCUUAUACAGUAUAAUCAAUGCUUUCCCAACUUGUUUGGUUGCCCUCCAUGGCUAAAUAUUUGUGGAACAAGAUGUUUACUGUAACUAUGUUUAAAAUCGAUAAGGCAACAUACUUUUAUGACUUUUACUUCAUCUUUUGCCAGAUAGUGAAUGCCAGGUGGUAAUGGGGGUCAGAAAUCCAGCAUUAAAAAAAAAA
Molecule: non-coding RNA, 870 nt
Organism: Meleagris gallopavo (turkey)
Lineage: Eukaryota; Metazoa; Chordata; Aves; Galliformes; Phasianidae
Source: RefSeq, a predicted model, not a curated record